Molecule: long non-coding RNA, 4463 nt
Organism: Brienomyrus brachyistius
Lineage: Eukaryota; Metazoa; Chordata; Actinopteri; Osteoglossiformes; Mormyridae
Exons: 4
Source: RefSeq, a predicted model, not a curated record
CUAGUCCUCUGAAGUGCCAAGGCAUCCACAGAUCAAAUCUGCAACAAUUGCUCUGCAAAACCUGCUCCUAACCUGGCUGCACUCCGGCAUCCCCCAAACCUUCAGUGCUGGCAUCACUCUAAAAAUGUCACUGUCAGCCGAGUCUGGGGUGGCUUGAGGGACCAAGAGAUGGAGCUGAGGGACAUGACUCAGAGCCUGACGUAGAUGCAGUGAGUGCAGAUCAGGCGGCACCAGUGUUAAGGGCCACAGAAGAUCACAGCCCCCACCCCGCGCCUCUUCCACGCCCCGGGGCAGUUUUCCAGGCGGGUCCUGCAGUUGGCACAUGAAGCAGAAAGUACACCGCGUACUUUUUAGCUUCCUAGCGGUAAGGUGCCCCCGAGGCCGUAAUACGGUUGGGAGACAACGCGCCGGCUCUGAAUGAGUGUAAGUUUCGUCCCGCCCUUACCCAAUUAUACGGCAAUAUGAUUUGAUGGACAGCCGAUUCCUCCAAUGAGUGAAACGGGUGUGUGUUCGGCCCUCCUCUCUGCUUUUUUUUAUCCUGCAUGGGUUGGGACAUGGCUGGGGCAGGUCUCCGCUGUCCGAUUUGAUUUUCAAAUUUAGGGACUGAUUAGAUCCUUUGUUCUUGACUAGGGCUCAGCUACUAACCCGCACAAUUGCUGACACGCCUUCAGAAAAGAGGAAUUGGUUCAGUAAACAUCCUGUUGAGGAAGUUUAUAUCAAAAAUUAAACACUUGCAGUUUAGCUGAUAUACGGACACAAACGUGUCUUGCCAUGGAUACGUUUGUCCGUGUACGGACAGGUUUAAGAUGCUUGUCUUCUGACUUGGGUAGUUCAAAGGACCAUUUCAGUACAACGUAACUACGGCCCCCUAGUGGUGAGAAAGUGACUAACUUACCGAGGUCAAUGGUCCCCUGUACUCUACCAACUUUAAUCAAACUUUGUUUUGCAUCUAUUCUUUUUUAUUAUCACAAACAGUGGAUUACAUAGUACAUAUUUAUUAAUGUUUUUACUUCAUUUAGGGCCAGCGGGGGCAUAUUGGCUAAACACAUUGAUCAUAAAGUUUCCCGUGAAAGAGGUUCUUAACACAAAAUCCAUCCAUCCAGUUUCCAAACCGCUUAUCCUAUUGGGUCGCGGGGGGUCCGGAGCAAUGGGCACGAGGCAGGGAACAACCCAGGAUGGGGGGCCAGCCCAUCGCAGCUUAACACAAAAUGAUCCAAUAAAAAUUCUAACGAUUAAAUAUGUAAAAUAGUAAGAGUCAGUUAAGCAAAUAUAGGUACAAAUGUUCCAUUGAUGCAAGUGACCAAAUGCGGUACCAACAUUAUCACUGCAUAACAUACAAAGAGUUAUUAUAGUCCAGAAACAGCAGAGGUAUGGUAAUCAAUCUGAAGGUUUAAAACAAACUUUCGGACCAACAUUUAACAUCAAUAUGAAUAUAUGCUUAUUUUGAUUCCGAAUUUCAAUUGCCGUGACUCGAAUAAGCUGCCGGAAGAUGGAUAGCGAUAGAUAUCCAUAGAAACGAACAGAUAGCGAUGUAGCGUAGGUUACUAAGAAAUACAUACAUUUUGCCAUUAGAGGGCAACAAAUUCACAGGAAACGUCACAUUGGCUCAUUUUUUUAAAACAAGACAGCAUAUACUUCGUCAGUUUUCAUAGCUUUAGUGUACGACACCACAUCCGGCCUUAAUCAUUUUAAAGGUCAUUUUUUAUAUAUAUUUUGUGCACAUUUUAUUUAUUUUUUGCUUGUUAAUUAAAGUGGUUCAGCUUAUGUCUGGAAACCCAGUAACCAGGUCUUAUAUUUCACCUACAAAUUAGAGGUAAUUCAGUUGCUCACCACUACAUCAUUGUGGGUUUAUGUUCGUGUACAUGAAUGUGUGUUUGAGUGUUUGGUGAAGCACGGGUGACUGUAUGAUUCCAGGUAGCAGUACAGCACCUUGUGAUUUACACAUUUUGUCCAAAUGCUCUUAUUUGGACUCCUUGAUAUGAAGGCCUUGAGCAGUUGAGUGGUGACGUUUUCCUUUCCUGUACCUUCUACUCAGUUGGGAGGUCAGAAGUCCCAGAAGACCCAGAAUGCCUGGGAGAUGGGCUUUUAUACGGCUUGGCUCUCCCCGCGUUUGCCCCCAUUGGCAGCCUGUGCACAAGGACGGGUCCGGUCCCUUCAUGCAUGCUUGUGUUCCGCUCUUCUGGAAUAUUCCGGUUCUCUGAGAUUCAAGUCGGUGUCGGUUUCAUAAUAUGUGAUGUCUGUCAGGCCUGUUGGGAUUUCGCUUUGCCGAUGGCCGGUAUAUCGAAAGGCAGACUGCCCCCAAAGCUUGCGAUUAUUCUCCAGCAAUGGCAGGCCUGCCUUUAAACCUAAUUCCAUCUGUAGAGGCGCCAUUGCAGGUGGACGCUCCAGCCUGUUUUGGCAAUUUAAAUUAGAAUGCUAAUUAAUCAGAGCGACAGCGAGGAAUCACACAGAGAUCUGAAGUUGUUCCUCUUAUUGAUGAUGCCCUCUUGAAUUUUCAUUUAUUCGUUUUACUGCUGCAUGCGGGGCCGCUUAUAUGGCAAAUCAGACAGUAAUCAGUGACAGAGGCAUGUAAGGUCAGUUCUGACCUGGGACCAGUUGGCAAAACGCUCCAAUGGGGUUUGAGUGCCAAGGAACAGCUUUCCCUCUUGUGCCAAUUUUUAUCUUCACAGGGUUUUUUUCCAGCCUGGAAAGGAGUCAGUCAGCUGGAAUCCCAACGUGAACUCUGUCUGCAGUGGGAUGGCGCUGGCCGGUGUCCGGGGACAGCUGGGCAGGUGCGUGUGUGUGUUUUACACGGGUUUACUGUUUUACAUGGGUUUACUGGCCUCGUGUCGACAGAUUUUGAGAAGAUGUCCCCUCAAACAUCGUAACUUCUGAGAAACAGAUGGUUUAGAGAUGCCUUUCUUACAUUUCCAUCUGCUUUCACAAAACUGACAGUGCAGUAAUAUUUUCUUGCUCUCAGUUUUUCAUUGUCCUUAUGUUUUGUUGGAAUAUGAAUGAAAAUGAUGGACUUUUUCAUAAUAAAACAGAUUGUGAUAUAUAUGAAUAAAGGAGUGUGUGUGCGUGUGCUCAGAGAGAGAGAUAGUGUGUGUGUGCUCAGAGAGAGAGAGAGUGUGUGUGUCUGUGUGUGUGCUCAGAGAAAGUGUGUGUGCUGAGAGAGAGAGAGAGAGCGAGUGUGUGUUUGUGCUCAGAGAGAGAGAGAGAUAGUGUGUGUGUGCUCAGAGAGAGAGAGAGUGUGUGUGUCUGUGUGUGUGCUCACAGAUAGUGUGUGUGCUGAGAGAGAGAGAGAGAGAGAGAGCGAGUGUGUGUUUGUGCUCAGAGAGAGAGAAAGAGUGUGUGUGUCUGUGUGUGUGCUCAGAGAAAGUGUGUGUGCUGAGAGAGAGAGAGAGAGAGCGAGUGUGUGUAUGUGCUCAGAGAGAGUGGGUGUGUGUAUGUGCUUAGAGAGACAGAGUGUGUGUGUGUGUGUGCUCAGAGAGAGAGUGUGUGUAUGUGCUCAGAGAGAGAGAGAGUGUGUGUAUGUGCUCAGAGAGAGAGAGUGUGUAUGUGCUCAGAGAGAGAGAGUGUGUGUAUGUGCUCAGAGAGACAGAGUGUGUGUGUGUAUGUGCUCAGAGAGAGUGUGUGUGUGUGUGUAUGUGUGCUCAGAGAGACAGAGAGUGUGUGUGUGUGUGUGUGCUCAGAGAGACAGAGAGUGUGUGUGUGUGUGUGCUCAGAGAGACAGAGAGUGUGUGUGUGUGUGUGCUCAGAGAGACAGAGAGAGUGUGUGUAUGGCCCUGGUAGAAGGCCAGCACUGUCGACUGUACUGACUUCCUCUAGACUCAAAUACAGUAGUUGUCUUUGCACAAGAUACCACAUUUUAAUUAUUUUUGGUUUGCUCUUUGUAAUCAGAACAAAUUGGAAGAAGCCCUUUCUAUCUUCUCUGUGCCCCCAAACCUUUCAGGAUGUUUCUUUAAUAGUGGCGAUAAGCAACCCAUGGCGGAAAACCUCUUAUUUACGGAGAAAACAAAGACACUCCUUGGUUAACUAGUGGAACAACACAAUUAUUCAGUGUUCGUACAAACAGAGAUAAUUGGUUUACCUCUAGUUAUGGCGUUUCAGAUCAUCAUGCUAUGAGUAGGUUUAUUGGAACAUUUAUUGGGGGAGGGGGGCGUCUUUUCUUCCACUGCUGUAAAGAGUGCAAAUAUGGCAUUGAAAAUUAUUAUUACUAUCUUCAUCGUCCUUAUUAUUUAUUUGCUUAGCUGACAUAUUUGUCCAAACAGGGCACGAAACUGGCACUGAACAUUAGUCUGUAUAUGCUUACAUAUUCACACAGUUGGACCUGUUUACUAAAAUCAUUGUGCAUAAGUGCUUCUGUCAAGGGCUACAGCACUGAGUCGGCUUCGAUUCUGCUGUCUUCCCAUCACUAAUGACAAUGUCCUGUAUAUAACGUUCCUUAUUUUCACUGGCAAUAAAAGGCCGAAAGACGCAGA